Molecule: long non-coding RNA, 2283 nt
Filed under: Canis lupus familiaris (dog)
Lineage: Eukaryota; Metazoa; Chordata; Mammalia; Carnivora; Canidae
Description: lncRNA (ENSCAFG00000051322.1, ENSCAFG00845018086.1)
Source: RNAcentral
ACUUUCCCUAAUUCCCCUGUGCCCAAUGAGAAGCAGAGAGAGAGAGAGAGGCAGAAACACAGGCAGAGGGAGAAGCAGGCUCCUCGAAGGAAGCCUAAUAGGGUACUUGACACCAGGACCCCAGGAUCACCCCUUGAACUGAAGGCAGAUGCUCAACCGCUGAGCCACCCAAGCAUCCCUUCAUCCUUUCUUAUAUUUUGUUGUGUAUGUACAUACAUGUCUCUGUCUGUGUGUGUAUUUCUCACCAUUAGUCCUUUUACUGUAGUAUUCUAAGUAAUCUCUUAAAGAAUGAAACUCAUCUGCUAGUUUAUUUUAAAAGAAAAGUUUAUGCAUAUGUAGAAUUUUCUAUGUUUUGUAUGUUAAAAGUUUUUUCUAGACCCUUGAUGCUUGAAAAAUAGGUUUGAUAUAAAAUCUUUGGCUAACAUAUUUUUUUGAAUUUUUUAAAAAACAUCUUUCCUAUUACUGCCUUGCUUUGUAUGAUGCUUUUGAAAAUCAUGACACCAGUAUAAUUCUUUUGCUGUUUUUAAUAUUUGAUUUUUAUUUUAUCUUUGAAGUCUAAUAGUUCUAUAAGGAUACAUGUUGGAGUUGAACAUUCUAACUUUAUUUUCCUAUGUACCUUAUAGGAACCUCUCAUUUGUAGAUUCGGGGAUUAUUUUAUUUCUGGAAAUUUUUCUUAGAUUACAGCUUUAAGUAUGAGUUCUGCUACAUUAUUCUAUACUUUUCUUCAGAGAUACUCAUUUUAUAAAUGUUAUCCUUCCUUUCUAUACCUUCCAUUUCCACCACUUUUUCUCUUAAAAAAAAAACAAACUAUUUCCUUUAUCACAUUUACAUUCUCUUGAUUGUUUAACUUCCUUCAAAGUUCCUUGCAAAAUUAUUGAGUGCAUCUAUUCUCUGAUGCACACUUGGUAACUUAGUCUUCAUACAUAGGAGAAUGUUCCUGAUUUCUUCCAUUUUUGUGCUUAUUUAGCCUAUAGUUCUUGCAUUUCUGAUUCAAAACUGUAUUUGUAUCCCUAAAUAUUUGUUCUAAUAUAUUUAAUUCAGUUUGGAAUGUUGUCUUAUAGGUUUCUUCUAUUUCAUAAUUUUAGAGUAGGAGUAAAAUUUUAAUUAAUUCGGUGUGUAGGAUCACAUUUUAUGAUUUUUUUGUAGUAACUCUGUAUGGAUCUAGUUAUUAGUUUCUUAUGACAUUGGGGAAAGAUUCCUAGUUUGAUAACAUCCUCUUCUAUCAGUCUAAAUAUUUAUGCAGACUUUUAUUUUUUUGACAAAGAAUAAAGUUGUGUGUAUUUCAAUACUUUGUUCCCCUUUAUUUUGCAGGAUGUAAGUUUCACCCUUUGCUGCUUUUUCUCUUUGACACUUAGUUUCUAAAAAAAUGCUUCUUCUUUAUAUUUGUCUUUUUCUUCAUUAAAAUCUAUGUGUCUAUUAUUGCUUUGUAUCAUGAAUAUUUCAAAGUCCCUUUUCUGUAGUUUUUCUUUGACUUACCAAGACAUUUUUAAAAGGGUUUAGAUUCUAUUUUAUUUAUUAAAUUCAAUUAGUCAACAUAUAGAACACCAUGAUAUUUUAAAAAUAUUUUCAUACUGGGCAGUUGGGUGGUACAGUUGGUAAGGUGUCCGACUCUUGGUUUCAGCUCAGAUCAUGAUCUCAGGGUCAUGAGAUCCAGCCCACAUCACCACUUCUGCAUGAGAUCAUUCACUGGGGUUUGGUUUUCUUUAUUUACAGUGAUAUUAAAGUUUGGCACUCUGUCUCAAGCUAUACUGAAAGUGCUGUUUUUGUGUAAUUUUACUUUUUUCUUAAUGCUAUUGUGUAUUAUUUAUGGAGGAAAUAUUGAGAGAUGCAUAACUUGGCUGCCUCUAUUUUCUCACCUAUUUACAUCUCUAUUUUAAUUCUUGCCUGCCUAUAAUGAUUUGCACAUACAGAGGAAUCUUUGAAAAAGUAUAAAAUAUUUACCAAUUGGAGUUACUGGUAUGCUUAACUGAUGACAAAUUAGAGUAAAAUACAUUUCAGUGGGCUUUCUAAUGUUUUGCUUUUAGCUUAAUAAAUGUGAGUGUUAUUAUUAUUAUUUAUUAUUAUUAUUAUUAUUUGUUGUUGUUUUGUUGUUGUUGUUGUUGUUAAGGCUAAUUUCUUCGGCACAUAGGUUGGUUCCUGACAGUAGUAAAGGUGGUGGGCUGCCUAUUCAGAUUUUUGUUUUUUGUUUUCUUUUUCCAUGUCUGUUGAGUACUGAUUUUUGUUCUGGUCUUCACCAUUUCCCCUUGUGAACUAUAGAAAUAAUGAUUGCCUUAGGCUAAACAG